GGUUGGUCAGAGGGCAGUGGUGUUUACAAAUAAUUGAUCACAACCAGUUACAGAUUUCUUUGCCGGGCACCAGUAGCUCACUCCUGUAAUCCUAGCUACUC
RNAcentral lists this small RNA (101 nucleotides) under Dipodomys ordii (Ord's kangaroo rat). RNAcentral's name for it is "Y RNA (ENSDORG00000022578.2)". Lineage: Eukaryota; Metazoa; Chordata; Mammalia; Rodentia; Heteromyidae. The record is from RNAcentral.